GACGAACGCUGGCAGCAGGCCUAACACAUGCAAGUCGAGCGGACCUUUCGGGGUCAGCGGCGGACGGGUGAGUAACGCGUGGGAAUAUGCCCUUCUCUACGGAAUAGUCCUGGGAAACUGGGGGUAAUACCGUAUACGCCCUUUGGGGGAAAGAUUUAUCGGGGAAGGAUUAGCCCGCGUUGGAUUAGGUAGUUGGUGGGGUAAUGGCCUACCAAGCCGACGAUCCAUAGCUGGUUUGAGAGGAUGAUCAGCCACACUGGGACUGAGACACGGCCCAGACUCCUACGGGAGGCAGCAGUGGGGAAUCUUAGACAAUGGGGGCAACCCUGAUCUAGCCAUGCCGCGUGAGCGAUGAAGGCCUUAGGGUUGUAAAGCUCUUUCAGCUGGAAAGAUAAUGACGGUACCAGCAGAAGAAGCCCCGGCUAACUCCGUG
RNAcentral lists this ribosomal RNA (433 nucleotides) under uncultured bacterium. RNAcentral's name for it is "partial 16S ribosomal RNA". It matches the Rfam family "Bacterial small subunit ribosomal RNA", at positions 28 to 507 of the family's 1533-position model. The record is from RNAcentral.